GGGUUCCUACGAGAGGCAGCAGUAGGGAAUUUUCGUCAAUGGGCGCAAGCCUGAACGAGCAAUGCCGCGUGAACGAGGAAGGUCUUCGGAUCGUAAAGUUCUGUUGAAGGGGAAAAAGAGCGGAGAGAGGAAAUGAACUCCGAUUGAUAUUACCCUUCGAGGAAGUUACGGCUAACUACGUGCCAGCAGCCGCGGUAAUACGUAGGUGGCGAGCGUUAUCCGGAAUGAUUGGGCGUAAAGGGUGCGCAGGCGGCCUGCUAAGUCUGGAGUGAAAGGUACCGGCUCAACCGGUACAGGCUCUGGAA
RNAcentral lists this ribosomal RNA (305 nucleotides) under uncultured bacterium. RNAcentral's name for it is "bacterial SSU rRNA". It matches the Rfam family "Bacterial small subunit ribosomal RNA", at positions 333 to 631 of the family's 1533-position model. The record is from RNAcentral.